GGCCUCGUAGCUCAGCCGGUGGAGCACUCGCGGUACUAAGGCGGGGGUAGUGACCGUGCGUGGGUACGAAUCCCGCCGGGGCCA
This 84-nucleotide transfer RNA is filed under the name Fasciola hepatica (liver fluke). It matches the Rfam family "tRNA". From Rfam's summary of the family: Transfer RNA (tRNA) molecules are approximately 80 nucleotides in length. Their secondary structure includes four short double-helical elements and three loops (D, anti-codon, and T loops). Further hydrogen bonds mediate the characteristic L-shaped molecular structure. tRNAs have two regions of fundamental functional importance: the anti-codon, which is responsible for specific mRNA codon recognition, and the 3' end, to which the tRNAs corresponding amino acid is attached (by aminoacyl-tRNA synthetases). tRNAs cope with the degeneracy of the genetic code in two manners: having more than one tRNA (with a specific anti-codon) for a particular amino acid; and 'wobble' base-pairing, i.e. permitting non-standard base-pairing at the 3rd anti-codon position. Lineage: Eukaryota; Metazoa; Platyhelminthes; Trematoda; Plagiorchiida; Fasciolidae. The record is from Rfam by way of RNAcentral.